GUUCUGUAAGCCUGUGAAGGUGUGCUGUGAGGCAUGCUGGAGGUAUCAGAAGUGCGAAUGCUGACAUAAGUAACGAUAAAGCGGGUGAAAAGCCCGCUCGCCGGAAGACCAAGGGUUCCUGUCCAACGUUAAUCGGGGCAGGGUGAGUCGACCCCUAAGGCGAGGCCGAAAGGCGUAGUCGAUGGGAAACGGGUUAAUAUUCCCGUACUUGGUGUUACUGCGAAGGGGGGACGGAGAAGGCUAUGUUGGCCGGGCGACGGUUGUCCCGGUUUAAGCGUGUAGGUGUGUGUUCCAGGUAAAUCCGGUUCACUUUAACACUGAGGCGUGAUGACGAGGCACUACGGUGCUGAAGCAACAAAUGCCCUGCUUCCAGGAAAAGCCUCUAAGCAUCAGGUAACAUCAAAUCGUACCCCAAACCGACACAGGUGGUCAGGUAGAGAAUACCAAGGCGCUUGAGAGAACUCGGGUGAAGGAACUAGGCAAAAUGGUGCCGUAACU
RNAcentral lists this ribosomal RNA (498 nucleotides) under Salmonella enterica. RNAcentral's name for it is "partial 23S ribosomal RNA". It matches the Rfam family "Bacterial large subunit ribosomal RNA", at positions 1238 to 1735 of the family's 2925-position model. The record is from RNAcentral. Lineage: Bacteria; Pseudomonadati; Pseudomonadota; Gammaproteobacteria; Enterobacterales; Enterobacteriaceae.